GACACACUUAUUGGGAUCCAAAAGUAAUGCCUUUUCUAUGCUUAAAUCCCUCCUUGCUAUGGUCAGAACACAAUUUAAUGAUGUCGUUCAGACUGUUAGGAGUGACAAUGCCUUAGAAUUGGGCUUUAGCAAUGAGGGAAUUUCUUUCUUUAGCAGCCAGGGAAUCAUACAUCAAACCUCCUGCCCUCACACCCCUCAACAAAAUGGUGUUGUUGAGAGAAAGCAUAGGACUCUUCUUGAAGCCUGUAGAGCAUUGCUCUUUCAAUCUGACUUGCCAGUAUCUUUCUGGGGGGACUGCUUAUUGACUGCCACCUAUCUCCUUAACAGAAUACCCACCAGGUUGCUUCAUAACAAGUCUCCUCAUGAGAUUUUGUAUGGCAAAGUUCCUUCCUAUACUCACUUGAGGGAUUUUGGUUGCCUGGCAUAUGCCACUGUUCCCAUCCCUCAAAGGGACAAGUUAAAGCCAAGAGAUAUUCCUUGUGUUUUUCUGGGUUAUCCUUUUGGCAAAAAGGGUUAUAGGCUUUAUGAUUUUGCUUCCAAGAAGUAUUUGGUCUCCAGGGAUGUUCUAUUUCAUGAAUCAGUUUUUCCUUUUAAACAUGCAUCUCCCUCUGCUCCUCUUCCUGCUUCUUCUUUUCCCUUUAUUCCCUCUGGAGAACAUGAUGAUAUCUCUGAUUCUCCCAUUCCACUCUCUACUCCCUCUUCUGACACACCUGUACAAAUGCCCUCUUCUCCUCCACUCAGUCCUGCUGCUUCACCUCCUGUUUUGGAUCCUCCUCCCUCUGUUCCACAUCUGUACAAAUGCCCUCUUCUGCUCCUCUAAGUCCUGCUGCUUCACCUCCUGUUUUGGAUAAUCCUCCCUCUGUUCCUGCUCCCAGAAAGUCUACCAGACACCAUAAUCCUCCUUCCUAUUUUAAAGAUUAUGUGUGUCAACUCCCUGCCUUCUCUGGCUCAUCUUCCUCCUCUUUGGAAUCUGAGCCUCUAUACUAUUCUCAGGCAGCAUCUGUUCCNN
This 1009-nucleotide long non-coding RNA is filed under the name Nicotiana benthamiana. RNAcentral describes it as "long non-coding RNA (NBEN_LNC003270)". Lineage: Eukaryota; Viridiplantae; Streptophyta; Magnoliopsida; Solanales; Solanaceae. The record is from RNAcentral.